RNAcentral lists this ribosomal RNA (1003 nucleotides) under uncultured Lactobacillus sp. Its description in RNAcentral is "bacterial SSU rRNA". It matches the Rfam family "Bacterial small subunit ribosomal RNA", at positions 504 to 1507 of the family's 1533-position model. Lineage: Bacteria; Bacillati; Bacillota; Bacilli; Lactobacillales; Lactobacillaceae. The record is from RNAcentral.
UGUCCCAGCCGCCGCGGUAAUACGUAGGUGGCAAGCGUUAUCCGGAAUUAUUGGGCGUAAAGCGCGCGUAGGCGGUUUUUUAAGUCUGAUGUGAAAGCCCACGGCUCAACCGUGGAGGGUCAUUGGAAACUGGAAAACUUGAGUGCAGAAGAGGAAAGUGGAAUUCCAUGUGUAGCGGUGAAAUGCGUAGAUAUAUGGAAGAACACCAGUGGCGAAAGCGGCUCUCUGGUCUGUAACUGACGCUGAGGUUCGAAAGCGUGGGUAGCAAACAGGAUUAGAUACCCUGGUAGUCCACGCCGUAAACGAUGAGUGCUAAGUGUUGGAGGGUUUCCGCCCUUCAGUGCUGCAGCUAACGCAUUAAGCACUCCGCCUGGGGAGUACGGUCGCAAGACUGAAACUCAAAGGAAUUGACGGGGGCCCGCACAAGCGGUGGAGCAUGUGGUUUAAUUCGAAGCAACGCGAAGAACCUUACCAGGUCUUGACAUCUUCUGACAAUUCCAGAGAUGGAACGUUCCCUUCGGGGACAGAAUGACAGGUGGUGCAUGGUUGUCGUCAGCUCGUGUCGUGAGAUGUUGGGUUAAGUCCCGCAACGAGCGCAACCCUUAUUGUCAGUUGCCAUCAUUAAGUUGGGCACUCUGGCGAGACUGCCGGUGACAAACCGGAGGAAGGUGGGGAUGACGUCAAAUCAUCAUGCCCCUUAUGACCUGGGCUACACACGUGCUACAAUGGACGGUACAACGAGUCGCUAACUCGCGAGGGCAAGCUAAUCUCUUAAAGCCGUUCUCAGUUCGGAUUGCAGGCUGCAGCUCGCCUGCAUGAAGUCGGAAUCGCUAGUAAUCGCGAAUCAGCAUGUCGCGGUGAAUACGUUCCCGGGCCUUGUACACACCGCCCGUCACACCAUGAGAGUUUGUAACACCCAAAGUCGGUGGGGUAACCUUUUGGAGCCAGCCGCCUAAGGUGGGACAGAUGAUUGGGGUGAAGUCGUAACAAGGUAACCAAUCGA